GUGAGUCAUCGAAUCUUUGAACGCACCUUGCGCUCCUUGGUAUUCCGAGGAGCAUGCCUGUUUGAGUGUCUUGAAAUCAUCAAACCCUCUGUCUGAGUUAUGGGGGGUUUGGAUCUGGGGGUGUGCCGCUGCAAAGCGGCUCCCUUCAAAUGCAUCGGUUGGACCUGUGGGUCGAACUCGACUGGGCGUUGUAACAUCCUCGCUCUACCGAGAGGUUCCCCUUUGGCGUCCUCCCACGACCGCCUGUGGAGUGGCGGUCAACUUGCUUUGAAAUCUGACCUCAAAUCAGGUAGGACUACCCGCUGAACUUAAGCAUAUCAAUAAGCGGAGGA
RNAcentral lists this unclassified non-coding RNA (332 nucleotides) under fungal sp. Its description in RNAcentral is "partial contains 5.8S ribosomal RNA, internal transcribed spacer 2, and large subunit ribosomal RNA". The stretch from base 1 to 71 matches the Rfam family "5.8S ribosomal RNA", at positions 84 to 154 of the family's 154-position model. Lineage: Eukaryota; Fungi. The record is from RNAcentral.